GCAAUGACUGGAUCAUGUCGGGAAGUACCGAAGGGAUGAACAAAGAUAAUCUUAUACUUGGCCACUUGUUUUGGAACACCAUGUUCCUUGUAGGCCAAAAAUCUUCCAUCCCUUAGCCUUAUUCUAGGCGCUGUGACAGGUGGACCGCCAGGCGAACCACAGAUGUUCGGAGGGGGUGGUCGGGCGGCCUGAUGUGCCCACGCCAGCAAUCCAACCAACAAGAUGAAUGCGAUCCUGUUAAACAUCAUUGAGAAGAUGAAGUAUGGAGCUUUGCUCAACUGCAGUGAAGAAGCAAAUACAAAAAUAACAUUACACUUGAGGACAUUAUAUAAUAAGUUCUAAUUUUGCCUCAAUUGGAUCACUCCAAUUUUUAAGAGCUCAAAUAAAAAUGGUGUAAUGUAUAAACAAUACAAAUACAAACACACUUUUCAUUUAUCGAAAAUGAUAUUCUAAUAUCUAAACAACAAGAGACGGAUUCCAAUAUUUAAGAGAACGCGGUGUUCUAACCAACUAGGUUAUACUAAUUGUUUCUAUAGCGAACACAAUCAAUAAAUAAGUUGGAAAUUAAAAGAUGCACUCCUUUGUUUAACCGAAACCACAAGAAAAGAAAAUCAUAUGCACAUAAAAAAUCAUACUUCCUAAUGUGCUUUUUUGGAAAAAACUUACCACCAAUGCUCCUCCCUCUGAUAUUUAUAUGUUUAUGCAGAAGAAAAUGGCAGAAACAGGCUGAGUGAGCAGCUGCUUUUAGCUUUAGUGUGGUGCUGAAGCUGCCGGUGUCGGUGGGCUGCUUGUUUUCGUAUUGACAAACGAAGAAGAUAGAGAAGUCAUGAAGAAAAUUCGUCCAUCACAAUGAUGAGAAGUCAGAAAGAUGAGAAGGGAUAUAGUUUUGUUAGACAUUUUUAAUUCAUUAUGGUGUUUGGUAUCGCGUUCCACCUAACACAAGUUACACAACCAGCCACACAGAAAAAUCCAUCCACUGAUGAUUUUGGCAUACCUUCCCGGCUUUCCUUUUCACCUUUUUUAUCUUUUUCUGUAUUGGAACUUUUAUGAGUCAUCAGUCAUCAGACCCAUCACAAAUGUGGUAUUAAUGCAAUGUCAUUACAGCAUCUCUAAACAUGGUGUAAAAACAACUAAAAUUUUAUUUUAAUGAGUCAAAUUUAAAAAUAAUAUUGUUGUAGCAAAAAGCUGUCUUUAGUCUUGACGAAUUUGAUCAAGGUCAAAGCCACACACGCGCCCACGAGUUGGGGGUUUAGCCAAUAGAUCUCUGAUGCUUAAUCUGAAAAGAGUGAGUUUUUAGAGCUUGAGUGUGUAGCAAAAGCUUACCAGAAAAUGGUGUAGAUGCAGUAUUUAUGGGAAGAUGGGUAGUCAUAAUGUUAGGAUUUUUCCUUACACAUGACGGUUUCCCAUUGGCCAAGGUGUGAUAUUCAUAGGAUGGAUAAGAAAAGAAUUAUCCCGAAGAUAUUAACUAUGAGAUAAUACCUUGGGAUUAUCAAGUAUCUUUGAUUGCUUCUGAUGAGAAUUCCUUGCCUGUUUGAGUUGAUUUUCAAUUAGGAAUGUAUUAACGAUAGAAUUUGGUGACUAAUCCUAUCAUUAAUGUAUUUAACUUUUCCAUGUUACGACAGGAAACUUGGUGAUGUUGUAUUCAGCAGCUCAAUUCUCUAGGGAUAUUGAACUGCAUGUGUGAAUAUUUGUGGGCCCUACCCAUUAAUGAGGGCUUUAUUGUAUUUUUUUGGAAAAAAAAGUCACAUGUUUUUUCUAGAAUUUUUAGAAUUAUUUUUUGCUCCACACACAUCUCUAAUAGACUAUAUAAAAAAGUCUUUAUUAUAACAUAAGGAAUAGUCACUUUUCAAAUUUAUAGAGUAAUUGUCCAUCAGCUAAAUAUUUAAAAAAUAAAAUUAAAAGUUGACCCUUGAGCAACGAAAAAAGAAAGAAAUAGAAGACUGUUGUAGAAAUGGUUUUUUACACAAGUACCACUUGAACUUGUAAGCAUGUGCGAUAAUAAUACCUAAACUUUCAAUUUUUAUUUGUUACCACCUGGACCCUCUUAAGUGUUGGAAUGUACCACCUACGUUACUUUUCAUCCAUUCUACUGUUAAAACAUGUCACCUGAAGAGAUUUUUUUCAUCAAUUAACUUCAUGCGGCUAUUUAGAAUCAAUAUGCUCCAAAAUAAUAGUGUCUGAGUUAAUAUUGCGCUAAAAUUGGGGGUUUGUAUAACUCCAGUUUGGCAAUUCCCUUUAUAAAAGUUAGAAAAAUUCAUAUUUGUAUAAAUUAAGAUAAAUCACACACCCACUUGCUGAUCCAAAAAAAAAAAAAAAAAAGUGAAAAUACAUUGUAAAUGAAAGACUAGAUUUUGUACAAUAUUUCUACUUCAAUUCUUCAACAGUCCUUGCCAAAAUCAAAUCAGAAAUCAACUUCUUCCUUUCUCUUGAUGACCUAACUCCAAGUCCGCUAAAAAUUCGCCUUUUGCCUUUGUACAAAUUGACAAUAGUGAUCCCUAAAAAGUGAAUUGACAAAAAUAUCCCUCCAUGUGAAGAGCGCGUGAAAUAUUUUAACGGAAAAAUAGAUGAAAAGUAAUGUAGGUGGUAGGUUCUAAAAAUUAAGAGUGUCUAGGUGGUAAAAAAUAAAAAUGAAAGUUCAUGUGGUACUUGUACAAAAUCCUCCAAAUAAGAAUAAAUGAGUUGGGGUUGAAUUGUUAAUAAAAAAAAUAUUCAAAGUUUGUUAAAAUAAAGAGUGUUGUUGGAGAUGGAAAGUUAAACUAAAUAGCUAAAAUAGUUUUUUGGCACUUUUGACUUGCUAGUUAAUAAAAAUUUAGAGCUUUUUAUAGACAUGUUAUAGUGCUAGAGCAUCUUCAAGAGACUUUUUAAUAUAACUAGUGGCGGAUCCAAAAUUCUACCAUCGGGUGGCCCUAAUCAAGGCACACUAGGAUAGGCGCUACUUAGGUGGUGGGUUGCGGCCUCGCGCCUGUGCGCUUAGAUGGGGCCUAGGCAAACUAGGCAGAUUUAAAUAAAUUUAAUAUAUAACAUAUAAUAAGUGCCCAUUUACACUUUAAAAAACUAUACUUAUGAUUAGGAUUUGAGUUUAUUAUUUUAAAUAGGUUUAUUAUUUGACAUAUAACAUACAAAAACAUCAGAAUUUUUGCUUUAGUAAUUUAGUGAAUUAGAUGGUAUGAGAUGAAAGUUUAAGUGAUUACGUGACGCAAUAUUUUACGAAAUAUUUUUUCAAAUGUCGUAUGUAUAAUGAAUUUUAAAAGAAAUAACUGUAUCAAACACGUGUUAUAAAAAAUAUUGAUUUAGUAAUCCACCAUCUGUUGUAAAUAGUGGGUAUGUUUGCCCACAUGUGUAUAGUAAAGUACCACAUGUGUAUAGUAAUGUGUAUAGUAAAUACUCAUAUGCAUAUAGUAAGCCUUUCACUAUGUUGCUUGUGAUUUGCUUCUAUAAAAGCAAGUCUUAUGGAACACAACAAAAGAUUUAGGAGAUGAAAAAAGCAAGUCUUAUGGAACACAACAAAAGAUUUAGGAGACGAAGGUGAGAGGUUCAUGGGAGAGAUAGGAAGAAUAAAAGGAAGAGAGAAAAGAGAGAAAGAGGAGAGGAGAUAAUAGAGAGAGUUAUCUUUGUACUCUUAUUAUUUCAGAUUAUAAUGAAAACACCACCGCUGCCCCGAUGACGUACUCCAGUCACACUGAUUGUAGAGGAACCUCGUAAAUUUUGUGUCUUGUUUCAUUUAUUCCACUGCACACGCCGUCGAUUUUACAACACAUUAUCAACACGAGAAGCUCUCGUGUCAGUAGAAAGCACAACAUCACAAAUCUUGUUCAUCUCUAUCGCCUGAAAUCUCACAGAUAAGAAAAUCUUUUCAUUUUAUCUUAAAAUCUUUGUACUACUGAUUUUCUUGAAGCAAAUAUAUAUAUAUAUUGUUGUAUGACUGUAUAUCAUCAUUUGCAGAAGCAAAAGAGUACAAACUCAAAAAUUCGUAGAGAAUCUAACAGUCAUGUAAACAGCCUCGGAACUCCAACUUGCGGACCUCGGAUUGAAAUAUUUUCUUCUUCAAAGUUGUUUGUCUGCUCAAUAUCUACAACAUAUCAAAAUUUCAGAAAACUUUAACGGUGCGAUUGUCGCAGAUGUCUGAAAUACCAAACCAGUUUCCAAUUUCCGCAGAAAACUGGACAGCCACCUUAUGAGUACCAAAACUCUAUUUCGGUAGCUCAGAUUGAAAUUGUUUUUUCAUGAAAGUUGUUCGGUAUCCUCUUAUCCAUAUCAUACUAAAAUUUGACCUAAAUCUAACGGUUUGAUUUUCGCAUAAGUUGCAGACACUCUUGACUCCAAAACUUAUGGGAACCAUUUCGACUUUUUCGAAACUCAUCGGAGGAGGAACACCAAUUGGAACCUAUUGUUACUAUUAUUUCCUGAGUAACCAAAAUGACUUCAGAACUGUGAAAUGAAAACAAAAAUAAAAAGGGAAAUGGGGCCAAAGCUCUUGGAAAGGUGCGUUGCACCAUGUGAAAGAAAAAAAAAAGGACAAAGUUCUUGGAAUGUUGCAACAUGUGAAUGAAUAAGAAAAUAAUAAUAAUAAAAAUAGAUAAAGGCUUUUGGAUGGUGUUGCACCAUCUGAAAAGAAAGGAGAAACAAUAUAUUUAUUUAUGUGAAUGGUGUUGGCUUAAAACACUUUCACAAGUUCUUUUUACUUUAAAGCAAUUUAUUUACCAUGGACGGUUUUACCGCCCAUUGCUUUAAAUUUUGAUGGUGCUAAAUUAAAGCCUUUGUCACAAGUUUUAUUUACUUAAAUGCAAUUUAUUCAAUAUGGCUGGAAUUACCGCCUAUCGCUUUAAUUUAUUUAUUGCACUUAUCUUUUGUUACAAUGAGUAUAUAUAGGACCUAAAGUUCAUUGGUCAGAUCAGAACCUGCAGUUUCUUGAUCCUCAUCAUAUAAAAAUGAUUGGACCUGAAGUUCCAUCACGCAAAAAGAUCAGGUAUGAAGUCCCUUGAUCCUGAAGAUCAGGACAUGAAGUUCCUAGAUGAGUACCGUAAGUUUGAAGUGCCGCAGUGCCUUAACUUAAUUGUAAUAAAAGCGAUAAGAGUUUCAGUUUACAAACUAUUAAAUAAGGACCAGAAGUUCCUUAUGUCCAUACUCAAAAUGGUUUAGCAGAAGCCUUUAUUAAGCUGAUGAAAUUGAUUACGCGCGCUCUGCUCAUGAAAACGAAAUUGCCAGUUUUCUACAUGGGGACAUGUUAAUUCGGUUGAGACAUGUUACCAACCAUCAAUACUUCUCAGUACAACUCGUGUUUGGGAACCAGCCAAGCAUUAUACUUUUAUGAUUUUUUGGUUGUGUUAUCUAUGUGCCUAUUGCACAGCCACAAUAUAUUAAAAUGAGGCAUCAACACAAACUGGGAAUUUAUGUUGGAUUUGAUUCACCAUUUAUCAUUCAAUACCUAGAACCCUUGACUGGGGAUAUGUUUACCGCGUGGUAUGCGGACUAUGAUUUUGAUAAGAUAGUUAUCCCGCCAUUAGGGAGAGAAAAUAACAUUGUUCUAGAAGAACGAUGAGAAAAUAUCAUUCCAGAAGAAUGAUAAGAAGAGACCGUUCCAGAAGAACGAAGAGAAUUUGUCUUAUUUUGAUUCAUGAAGCAAUCAAUGAGAAAAUGAAAUAGGAAUGAUUAAAUGAUGCAACGAAAGUGAUGAAAUCACAUAUAUUUGCUGCAAAUGUGCCUACAAAAAUUGAUGUCCUUGUUGGACAAUAUAAUGAGGCUGUAAAUGAUUUCUCUGUUGCACGCCUGAAGCGUGGCAAACCCUUAGACUCAAAAGGUUCAGUCAUUUGAAAGAAGAAGAAUAUGGCAUUACUGAACUAUUGCAUUCUUGUAACAUAACUGUUGCAUGCCAGAAGCAUGACAGUCGUCGCAUGAAUACAUGGUCCAGAAGGACAAUCUGUGGACAUGGGAAUAUUGAUGUCUCAUGCAUGUAGUAUGAUAGACGUAUAGGUUCCAAUGACUUAACUCCCCAAAAGUGGAGAUUAAAAUCCAAGCUCUAUAACGCUCAAGAGGAGGUUAUGAUCUGCAUUCUUUAAAUUAUGACUAUCCUGGAAAAGAUAGUGUAAUAGCCUUGAAGAGGCAAUGGAUAUCCAAAUAAAUAAAAAGCUUUUAUGCAUGCGCAUGCACAUGAGAAUAUGGGAUCACAGAUUGAUGAUAACCAAUGACAAUGUUGGUUUUGACAAGUAGCUACUAAAUUCAUCAAUGAGCUGUGUUGAUAUUGAGUCCCGUUCUUUUGCGUCAACAAAAUUAUUGGCCAAUAAUGGAGAAAGGCAAUUCCAUUACAAUUUUGUAAGAACGUGGAAAAAUGGAUCUAUAUAUUUGAAUAUAAUACAAAUAGCCAAAAGAUGUUGAACCAAGGAGGUUACAUUGGGCAUUUGUAAUAUAGUGAAAUACACUCACAUGAUAUGACACAAGGUAUUGAAACCUGAAAUUAUACUCUUGUAAACGAGUUCAUAUGAAUGGAGAAUUAUAUACGAAGGGUUGUGAGUCGCCCACAUCAUAUCUCCAUAAGUAUCUUAAGUAUACAUGGAAGCAAAUUGCUCUAUAUAAAUUCCAAAGGAAAAUGUGUCAUGAAGUGUAGAAAAUCCCUGAAGGAUUCAAAUUGCUUAAAGUAAGCCCCCGAAGGGUAAAGCAUAAAAUAUGUUCUUAAUACCAAUGAAUGGUAUAAAUUACCUUAGUAAGUACUAUCAUUAUGAUAUUGUUGCAACCUCUUGCAAAAGGUUGAUGAUAUUAAAUUAGAACUCUUGAAGAGUUGAUAAUAUUAAAUUGGGACUCCUGAAGAGUCUAGAAAAAUUAUAAAGUGUUGAAGGAAUUAUUGUCUCGAGCUGCAGAUCGAACAAUAGACCAACACGAAUCUUAUCCAUGAUGUUUAUGAUAUUAAAAGAACCAUAUGGAUUGAAGAUUAUGAGUUGAAUACUCAAAUGAUGUAGACACUAAGAAUUAUCAUUUAUCUUUGUGAGGGUAAAGAUAAAUUAAUAUUGGUCCAGAAGUACCACAUCUUAGUGAAGUAUAUGCUUUAUUGUAUUUGACACAAUACAUUGAAUGAAAUAAAGCUUAUCUAUUAAUAUCUCCGAGAAAUUACAGAUAUGUACAUACACAUGAGUUAAAACAAACAAACAGGAUGGAGCCUUUACAAAGGUUGCUCAUGUGAAGCCUCAUUACUCGGAAGUACCCCAGAAGGGGGAGACACUGGAGAUUGAUCAUGUGGCACCCCAGUACUUAGCAAAACACCAGAAGGGGAAGGCAUCAGUUGUUUUCGGAAUCUAGCAACGAACCUCUGGUGAUCACUUUGAAUCCGACUUUCGGAUUCUUGCAGCUGAUCGAGCUUUCUUUUCAUGCUCGUCGAGUAAUUAUUUGCAAGCACGUGUAACAUUCUAUUCUCGUGCUUGAGCCAUCUGAUCUCUUGUUUAAGACUUGCCACCUCAGCCAUCAAUGAUUCAACUUGGCGAGUUUGAGCAAGUAGGCGUUGACCCAUAUUGGAAACAGAGCCAGCACACUGAACACUGAGAGCCAAGGAGUUUUGAAUGGCAAACUCAUCAGACCGUUUUGAAAGGAUCUUGUUAUCCUUUGGAGUGAGAAGAUUCCUAGCUACCACAGUAGCGGUUAUGUUAUUCUUCAUCACAUAGUCCCUAGCCGUAAGAGGACCAUUAAAAGAUAAGAAGGACGGGCGCCAUAUAUUAUCUUGACGCUGCUCGUCUGUAUCACUCCUAAGACUCAAAUCUAAGCAAAUGUUAGAUGAGCAAGUCAUUUUCAGAAAUGAUGAAGAAAAAAAAGAGGUCAAAUAAAAUUUCAGAAGUGCAAGAUGAGGGAAAUUUCUACAGGUAGCAACUUUUUGAGCAUACUCUUGAACACAAUUGAUGUCUCUAUAAAAGAAGAGGCAGCAGAGCCACUUGUUCAGAGAUCGAAGAGGCACCGCUCUCCGAAUUUCAAAAGCCAGAUUUUCCUAAAUAAAGUUCGUUGGCAUUUUUCAGACGCAAUCUCAGCUUUUUCGGAUAUCGCAUGCAAUUUUGUCAAAGAUCUCUGACAAAGUUGAAAACGUGUAAAUCUUACUGUUCUAAUUACACCACAGUUGCUGACAAGAGUAAAGGCACAACACCACCACUUGCUAUUGGGAAAUCUCUAUAUAUGUCGACCUUCGUUCUCCAUAACAAGGCAGACCAGCAAGCAUGUCCAACUCUUCAUCAUCUCCAAGAAUGCAUCUUCAAUAAAGCAUCUCGAAAUACUCAGUUUUCUUCCUCUCCGAGAAUACCUCUUCAAACAAGUCGCACCAGAGCAAGAUUAUCUCAUAUCUUCAGGGACGAGAGCAAAAGUAGUCAUCUUCAACUGUUGUUGGAGCUGGGUCUCUAGUCACCAAGAAAUGAUGAACCAUACAAAUGCAAGGGUUUGCAUUCCACUCCUGCAUCAGGGGACAAAUCCUUCAAGAGAAGAUGCCACACAUGUAGGGGGAAAACCGGAGAAAAUGCUACUUAAGCAAGGGGAGCAAGUAAGGCAAGUGAAAAUGAUACAUUGAAGCAUGUGGAGACAAGCGCAACAAACACGUGCUGAUUCAUCCCCGACAAAGCUGAAUAUCACUUGCCACGUGAAGCUCUUCACGAUACAACUUCAUUCAAGAUCAAGCCUCGAAGGUCCUUGAAGAAAUCACAAGUUUGAUUCAAGAUCAAGUGUCUACGACCCUUGAAUUAAAUUUAGCUCCAGAUAAAAGAAGUAAAUUCAGACAUUUGGAGCAAGUUUAGCAGAAGGCCCUCCAGCCCAGUUCAAGAACAAGUCUGUGGAAAGUUAACAACAAGUAAAGUACCUAUUUCGGCAACUCUUUUUACUAAGAGACUGAAGCAAAAUGAUCAACGAUCAGUCUAUAUGAUUUGAAAUCAAGGGGAGAUACUCAUCAGGGGAGCAUCCAAAACAGAUCAAGAUCUUAACGAGUCAAUUGAAGACUUAUGUGGGCAUCCAAGGGGGAGUGUUGUAAAUAGUGGGUAUGUUUGCCCACAUGUGUAUAGUAAAGUACCACAUGUGUAUAGUAAAUACUCACAUGCAUAUAGUAAGCCUUUCACAAUGUUGCUUGUGAUUUGCUUCUAUAAAAGCAAGUCUUAUGGAACACAACAAAAGAUUUGGGAGAUGAAGGUGAGAGGUUCAUGGGAGAGAUAGGAAGAAUAAAAGGAAGAGAGAAAAGAGAGAAGAGGAGAUGAGAUAAUAGAGAGAGUUAUCUUUGUACUCUUAUUAUUUCAGAUUAUAAUGAAAGCACCACUGCUGCCCCGAUGACGUACUCCUGUCACACUGAUUGUAGAGGAACCUCGUAAAUUUUGUGUCUUGUUUCAUUUAUUCCACUGCACACGCCGUCGAUUUUACAACACCAUCUCUUUAUUUAUUAAAAUGAUAUGUGACACAACCUAAUUAGAGAACAAUUAAAAAAAAAAAAAAUUGGGAAGUUGGUCACGUGGGAAAUGGAAAAAGAACGUUUUUCUUCAAAAUGGGGAGUUGGUCACAUGGGAAGUGUAGAGAGAAAGUUUUUCUUCUUUGUUGGAACCAGGUCCAAGAACAGGAGAAUCAUGGCUGUAUUCUCUGUGUUCCUCUUCGUCUGAACUUAGAUACUUCUUCUCAACCCUAAAACUGGAUUGCCGAAGUAAGCUUGAACUCUUUUGUUUCGCAACACCCUAUUCCUUCUCAGGCCUAUUCAAAUGGCUGUAUGGAUAAUGCUUUUAGGCUGAACCGAAGAAUUGGCUUGAAAUGAUUAUCCAAGUUGCUUGCCGUUUGACAGUUUCUGUUGCUUGUUUCAUGCAUUGGUAACUUAUUUUUUGUUCUUUAUUCCAAUUAUGGUCUUUCUAUUCAUUAUCUUUGACACAAUAAUGAAUAAAUUUUCUUUUGUUCAUUCGAAAGUACGGCAUUGCGUCUUUCACUUCUAGCCGGAAUUAGAAAUGGAAGAUUGAUAGAUUUCACUAAAAAUGAUAGCUAGCAGUUAGUACAGGCCAGAAAAUGGUGAUCUGUAGAAGAACUAACAGAGUGGUGCUGGCAUGUACAAAGUUUGAUUUUGGUCUCUGUAGUGUAUUUUUUAAAUUAUUAUUAGCGGGAGGGGGAGGUUCAAAACUAUUAUAAUAAUUUGAGGAAAGGGGGAGCUUUGAGCCCUAGAUGCAUAGGUGGAAAUCCAACAUCCUAUUACUAGGAUAUAUUGGACCACAUGCAGGUAUUACAUGGGUGGAAAUUCCAACCCCUUGUCCCUGUAGUAGUUUCAAUUGUCGGGUUUAUAAAGAGAUGCUUUACCUUGCGGGUGUUACAUUUGCACGAAUCGCAUUGCAUCUGUAUUUUGUGUAGUUCCAACUUUGCUGGAUUUAACCAUAAAAAUGGCCUGAGAUAUGGAACAUCAUACAACUAAUUUUGAAUCGACUCUCAUUAUUUCCUCUAUUUGAAUUGUAACAUUACAAAUAUUUGUCUUGGAACAUAAUUUGGAUAUAAUGUAGCAUCUCUGAGAGAGCUGCCCUGUAUCGACGACGUCAAUGGUCUACUCUUUAAUUAGAAGUGCCUUUAAGAUGACUUCACUCAUACCAUCUACAGCUGGCAACAAAUGUCCACCACCUGGUAACUCAUGGUAGUGAAUCCAUGGAAGCUUUUCGGCAAUAUAGCGUUGCAGCUCAACUGGGACAAGCUUAUCUUCGUCACCCUGCCAUAGAUGGACCGAGCCUUCGUUGUUGACAAAAGGGUUCUUCAGAUCCGUAGGAUCAAAUUCCCAGCUCCCAAAUCCAAUUAUGAUGUCGCGAAAGAUGGACUCAGCUUCUCCUCGCUGCGUGACAUGUUCCUGCCCAAACAAAUAACAAAACAAAACAAAAAUCAUCAACGCUGCCGAGUUUCUAUAAAAUCGUAAACAAUUAGCGAUCGAAUAAGGAAAGUACCUUGUGCUUUUCUCUUCCACAAACCUUUGCAUUCCUAAUGGUUUCCCAAUCUUGGCGGGAAAACAUAUUCUCUACUUUCCCGGAUAAAACGCUGUGUUUAGGAAAGAAAUUCUGAGUGUUCCACAAGUAGGUUAACCAAGGUAUAUAGUGAGCAGCUCGAAGCGCCCAUUGAUCAUGUCGAGCUUGCUUCUUAUAGGCAUAAGAUGACAGGUUGGCAGGAAGUCCUGGCCACCAGUAGUUGAUCACUAGAAUUCGGUGUUCUAACCAACAUGGUUAUACUAGUUGUUUCUAUAGCGAACACAAUCAAUAAAUAAGUUGGAAAUAAAAAGAUGCACUCCUUUGUUUAACCGAAACCACAAGAAAAGAGAUCAUAUGCACAUAAAAAAUCAUACUUCCUAAUGUGCUUUUUUGGUAAAAACUUACGACCAACGCUCCUCCCUCUGAUAAUUAUAUGUUUAUGCAGAAGAAAAUGGCAGAAACAGGCUGAGUGAGCAGCUGCUUUUAGCUUUUGUGUGGUGCUGAAGCUGCCGGUGUCGGUGGACUGCUUGUUUUCGUAUUGACAAACGAAGAAGAUAGAGAAGCCAUGAAGAAAAUUCAUCCAUGACAAUGUUGAGAAAUCAGAAAGAUGAGAAGGGAUAUAGUUUUGUUAGACAUUUUUAAUUCGUUGUGGUGUUUGGUAUCGCGUUCCACCUAACACAAGUUACACAACCAGCCACACAGAAAAAUCCAUCCACUGAUGAUUUUGGCAUACCUUCCCAGCUUUCCUUUUCACCUUUUUAUCUUUUUCUGUAUUGGAACUUUUAUGAGUCAUCAGUCAUCAGACCCAUCAUAAAUGUGGUAUUAAUGCAAUGCCAUUACAGCAUCUCUAAACAUAUUGUAAAAACAACUAAAAAUUUAUUUUAAUGAGUCAAAUUUAAAAAUAAUAUCGUUGUAGCAUAAAGUUAUCUUCAGUCUUGACGAAUUUGAUCAAGGUCAAAGCCACAAACGCGCCCACAAGGUGGGGGUUUAGCCAAUAGAUCUCUGAUGCCUAAUCUGAAAAGAGCGAGUUAUUAGAGUUUAAGUGCGCAGCAAAAGCUUACUAGAAAAUGGUGUAGAUGCAGUAUUUAUAGGAAGGUAAGCAGUCAUAAGGUUAGGAUUUUUCCUUGCACAUGACGGUUUCCAAUUGGCUAAGGUGUGAUAUCCAUAGGAUGGAUAAGGAAAGAAUUAUCCCGAAGAUAUUAACUAUGAGAUAAUACCUUGGGAUUACCUCAAAAUAUUUCCCGUGUGAAGAUUUGAGGAUACGGCGCAUCACUAUUCGUCCAGGAUGUCCCAAACGAUCAUGGCAAAGUGUAAUUUCGUGCGCGGUCCCAGUAGUAGGGCCGGCCACAUAGUGGCAUUCUAUGGGGCGUAUGGUCGUAGUAUACAAAUCACUCGGGAUGCGCUUAAUCUUUUCUAGAAUACGCUUCUGGCCAUAUUCGUAGGAAGUUAUGCAUAGAAAUUCAACUCCGUUUUCUAGGUGGGUUUCAGUGUGGUAAUUGUUAUAUCUAAUGUCCUUGAAACUAACAACGUUCUUCUGGAACGUGGAGAGUAGAGUGCCUCAGAAAUGGUCAAGAUUGUACCAUUAGAUAACAUUAUAUGUGCCUUACCGUAUCCUUCUAUCAGGUUGAAGGGGUCUGAGAGGGUUGUCAGAGGUGCAUUCUUAGGUAUGAAGUUAGUGAAAUAGAUGCGUUCACGCAAAGCUAUGUGCGUGGUUGCACUAUCUGCCAGACAACUAAAUUCCCACUAGUUAUACUUAGAAUGAAAAAUUAAUUUGAAUCGGUCACUUGCAAAAUUUUUUAUAAAAAACAGUUAUCAAUUUAAAAUAAUUACAUUUAUUCAAGGAUAAAACUUAAUAUCCAAAACAAACACCAACCAAUAAUCCAAACAUAAAGGAAAAUUGUUCAAAAAUCAACCAAAAACAUGUCACGCAUAAAGGAAAUAAUCUCAUUAUUUCCUCUAUUUGAAUUGUAACAUUACAAAUAUUUGUCUUGGAACAUAAUUUGGAUAUAAUGUAGCAUCUCUGAGAGAGCUGCCCUGUAUCGACGACGUCAAUGGUCUACUCUUUAAUUAGAAGUGCCUUUAAGAUGACUUCACUCAUACCAUCGGCAGCGGGCAACCAAUGUCCACUACCUGGUAACUCAUGGUAGUGAAUCCAUGGAAGCUUUUCGGCAAUAUAGCGUUGCAGCUCAACCGGAACAAGCUUAUCUUCGUCACCCUGCCAUAGAUGGACCGAGCCUUCGUUGUUGACAAAAGGAUUCUUCAGAUCCGUAGGAUCAAAUUCCCAGCUCCCAAAUCCAACUAUGAUGUCGCGAAAGAUGGACUCAGCUUCUCCUUGCUGCGUGACAUGUUCCUGCCCAAACAAAUAACAAAACAAAACAAAAAUCAUCAACGCUGCCGAGUUUCUAUAAAAUCCUAAAAAAUUAGCGAUCGAAUAAGGAAAGUACCUUGUGCUUUUCUCUUCCAGAAACAUUUGCAUUCCUAAUGAUUUCCCAAUCUUGGCGGGAAAACAUAUUCUCUGCUUUCCCGGAUACAACGCUGUGUUUAGGAAAGAAAUUCUGAGUGUUCCACCAGUAGGUUAACCAAGGUAUAUAGUGAGCAGCUCGAAGCGCCCAUUGAUCAUGUGGAGCUUGCUUCGUAUAGGCAUAAGAUGACAGGUUGGCAGGCAGUCCUGGCCACCAGUAGUUGAUCACCGGAGCGAUCAGUGCUGCUCCAGCUAGCCUGUCGUAACAGGCAUCCCAAACACAUCGAACUUUAGAGAAAAAUUUCAGUACCGAAUGAUGCAUCAUCAGGUAAUGAGGCUGCUUGCAAAAUCUUACCUAUGAGGGAUGUACUGAAGACACUUCCAAAUGACUUGUCCUCCCAUUGAGAAUCCAAUCACAUAAAAUUUGGAUCCGAGUUCUAGCUGAUCACCAAGCUCCUCUAUAUCUAACGCCAAGCUCUUCGCUGUUCGCUUAGUAUCCGGAUCACUUUCACCGUACCCUGGUCUGUCGAAAGACACAAUGUACACACCUAAAUCUUCAAUAACUUCCUGAUAAAACAAAAAAAAAAAAAAAAAAAAAAACAUCCACCACGAAAUCAACUAAUAUAGAGUCGAACUGAAGAAUGACAGAGAACCAAUCAAGGUAGUACCGGAGAGACAGAUGUUGCAAUGACUGGAUCAUGUCGGGAAGCACCGAAGGGAUGAACAAAGAUAAUCUUAUACUUGGCCACUUGUUUUGGAACACCAUGUUCCUUGUAGGCCAAAAAUCUUCCAUCCCUUAGCCUUAUUCUAGGCGCUGUGACAGGUGGACCGCCAGGCGAACCACAGAUGUUCGGAGGUGGUGGUCGGGCGGCCUGAUACGCCCAUGCCAGCAAUCCAACCAACAAGAUGAAUGCGAUCCUCUUAAACAUCUUUGAGAAUGAAGUAUGAAACUUUGCUCAACUGCAGUAAAGAAGCAAAUACAAAAAUAACAUCACACUUGUGGACAUCAUAUAAUAAGUUUUAAUUUUGGUAUAUUUCCCUCAUUUAUAUUGGAUCACUCUAUUUUUUAUGAGCUCCAACAUAAACAGGACAUCUAAAUCAAACAAACACCAGGAAACAAGGGUAUAAACCAUAAACAAUACAAAUACAAACGCACAUUACAAUUAUCGAAAACGAUACUCUAAUAUCUAAUUCAAGAGACAGGAUUCUAAUAUUUAAGAGAACGCUGUCUUCGAACCAACAUGGUUAUACUAGUUGUUUCUAUAGCGAACACAAUCAAUAAAUAAGUUGGAAAUAAAAAGAUGCACUCCCUUGUUUAACCGAAACCACAAGAAAAGAAAUCAUAUGCACAUAAAAAAUCAUACUUCCUAAUGUGCUUUUUUGGUAAAAACUUACCACCAACGCUCCUCCCUCUCUGAUAAUUAUAUGUUUAUGCAGAAGAAAAUGGCAGAAACAGGCUGAGUGAGCAGCUGAUUUUAGCUUUUGUGUGGUGCUGAAGUGUCGGUGGGCUGCUUGUUUUCGUAUUGACAAACAAAGAAGAUAGAGAAGUCAUGAAGAAAAUUCGUCCAUCACAUUAAUGGGAAGUCAGAAACAUGAGAAGUCAUAUAGUUUUGUUAGACAUUUUUAAUUCAUUGUGGUAUUUGCUAUCGCGUUCCACCUACCAGCCACACAGAAAAAUCCAUCACAAAUGUGGUAUUGGUUAAUGCAAUGCCAUUACAGCAUCUCCAAACAUGUUGUAAAACAACUAAAAUUUUAUUUUAACGAGUCAAAUUUAAAAAUAAUAUUGUUGUAGCUAAAAAUUGUUUUCAGUCUUGACGAAUUUGAUAAAGGUCAAAACCACACACACGCCCACAAGGUGGGGGUUUAGCCAAUAGAUUUCCGAUGCCUAAUCUAAAAAGAGUGAGUUUUUAGAGCUUAAAUGCGUAGCAAAAGCUUACCAGAAAAUAGAGAUGGAGUAUCUAUAGGAAGGUGGGCAGCCAUAAGGUUAGGGUUUUUCCUUUCACAUGACGAUUUCCCAUUGACCAAGGUGUGAUAUCCAUAGGAUGGAUAAGAAAAGAAUGAUCUCGAAGAUAUUAACUAUGAGAUAAUAUCUUGGGAUUAUCAAGUAUCCUUGAUUGCUUGUGAUGAGAAUUCCUUACACUAGUACAAAAAACACUUUGCGCGAUGCAGGUCCUUCGUCGAGCAAAGUUAAAAAAUCGUCGCGCAAACAUUAGAGCAACGAACCUUCGUUGCGCGCCAACCGUCGCGCCAAGGCAGUGACGGAAGGGUUUGUGCGACGAAGAAGUAACCUACGUCGCGCAAAGCCACUUUGCGCGACGCAGGAACAUGCGUCGAGCAAAGUGUCUUUGCGCGACGCAGGUCCCUACGUCGUGCAAAACUACUUUGCGUGACGCUUCUUCGUCGCGCAAAGUUUUUUUUUUUUUUUUUGGUAAACAUAUUUUUUUAUUUAAUUUUUUAUAAAUAUUGUAAUUAAAUUAUAAACAAUAAUUAAGAAACCAAAAAAAAGUAUUUAAUUAUAAAAUAUAUGAAAAUGUACAUACAAGAUGUUCAAACAUAAAAGAAAAAACUAAUUGACCAAAAAAAAAAACAUAAAAGAAAAAACUACAACAAGUAGUCUUCUAGGCUUGAUGCAUGCAUCAGACUACUAAGUAUUGGCUGGUGGUGUAGCCUUGCCACGCUGAUGAAAACCAUUGCCUCUCAGUCUGUUGUAAUCUCCAUCCGUAACUACCUCUGCUUGAACUCCGGCCACCAAAACGCCCCCUUGUGGCGUCAGUUUGGUAACCUCCUCUGCCUCUGCCCCUUCCUCCUGGUUGAAAAAUUCAAAAUCCACAUAAGGAGACCAAAAGUUGAGCAAAUUAAAUGUUAUCUCUAAGGAAAACAGAUGCAUAGAUGCUUAAUAGUUUGGUAGAUCACAUUCUAAAUGCUGGCUAUGCCAAUAAACUCAGUAAGCUCAUGAACAGGACAACAUCUAUAUCUAACGCCAAGCUUUUCGUUGUUCGCUUAGGAUCCGGAUCACUUUCACCGUGCCCUGGUCUGUCGAAAGACACAAUGUACACACCUAAAUCUUCAAUAACUUCCUGAGGAAAGAAAAAAAACACCCACCACGAAAUCAACCAAUAAAGAGUUGAACUGAAAAAUGACAAAGAAUCAAGCAAGGCAGUACCGGAGAGACGGCUGUUGCAAUGAUUGGAUCAUGUCGGGAACUAAAGAAGGGAUGAACAAAGAUAAUCUUGUACUUGGUCACUUGUUUUGGAACACCAUGUUCCUUGUAGGCCAAAAAUCUUCCAUCCCUUAGCCUUAUUCUAGACGCUGUGACGAGUGGACCGCCAGGCGAACCACAGAUGUUCGGAGGUGGUGGUCGGGCGGCCUGAUACGCCCACGCCAGCAAUCCAACCAACAAGAUGAAUGUGAUCCUCUUAAACAUGUUUGAGAAGAUGGAAAGUAUGAAACUUUGCUCACCUGCAGUAAAGAAGCAAAUAGAAAAAUAACAUUACACUAGAGGACAUCAUUGUAUAAUAAGUU
Molecule: long non-coding RNA, 16899 nt
Filed under: Malus domestica (apple)
Lineage: Eukaryota; Viridiplantae; Streptophyta; Magnoliopsida; Rosales; Rosaceae
Description: long non-coding RNA (MDOM_LNC006551)
Source: RNAcentral